RNAcentral lists this ribosomal RNA (406 nucleotides) under uncultured bacterium. Its description in RNAcentral is "partial 16S ribosomal RNA". It matches the Rfam family "Bacterial small subunit ribosomal RNA", at positions 30 to 526 of the family's 1533-position model. The record is from RNAcentral.
AUUGAACGCUGGCGGCAGGCCUAACACAUGCAAGUCGAACGAGUGGCGGACGGGUGAGUAAUGUCUGUGAAACUGCCCGAGGGGGGGGGAUAACUACUGGAAACGGUAACUCAUACCGCAUCCCAUCGGAUGUAGGCCGAGGGGAUUAGCUAGUAGGUGGGGUAACGGCUCACCUAGGCGACGAUCCCUAGCUGGUCUGAGAGGAUGACCAGCCACACUGGAACUGAGACACGGUCCAGACUCCUACGGGAGGCAGCAGUGGGGAAUAUUGCACAAUGGGCGAAAGCCUGAUGCAGCCAUGCCGCGUGUAUGAAGAAGGCCUUCGGGUUGUAAAGCACUUUAAGCGAGGAGGCGUUACUCGCAGAAGAAGCACCGGCUAACUCCGUGCCAGCAGCCGCGGUAAUAC